Molecule: long non-coding RNA, 357 nt
Filed under: Brachypodium distachyon (stiff brome)
Lineage: Eukaryota; Viridiplantae; Streptophyta; Magnoliopsida; Poales; Poaceae
Description: long non-coding RNA (BDIS_LNC005183)
Source: RNAcentral
CAUUCGAAGUUAAGAAUAUAUUUUCAUAUUCGUGAACAUUUAUUCAGAGAUAAAUGAUUUCUUUAUGCUCAUGAACUUUAUCCAUAAAAAUGUCAGUACGCAUCCAAAAAAUGUUCAUCAAACUAUAAAAAUAUUCAAUUGUACCAAUAAAAAUAAAAUUGCCGAUAGGAAGAGUUCUAAAGAAACAGCGGAAAACAAAGAAAUAAAAUAAAAAGGCAAACUAAAUGUAGGGUGUUGAUUAAACUUGCGACUCAUGAUGGUGAUGAGGCUGUUUUGGUUGGGCAAGACGCCUCCAAAUUAUUUAUGCCUGUAUCCAUAUGCGCGCUCAUUGUCUGCCUGUGAAAGCAUGAGAAUAAC